RNAcentral lists this ribosomal RNA (167 nucleotides) under uncultured bacterium. RNAcentral's name for it is "partial 16S ribosomal RNA". It matches the Rfam family "Bacterial small subunit ribosomal RNA", at positions 355 to 509 of the family's 1533-position model. The record is from RNAcentral.
UGAGGAAUAUUGCGCAAUGGGGGGCAACCCUGACGCAGCGACGCCGCGUGGAUGAUGAAGGCCUUCGGGUUGUAAAAUACCUGUCAGAUGGGAAGAACGGUAGGAGGGUUAACGAGCCCUGUUAUUUGUACGGUACCAUCAAAGGAAGCACCGGCUAACUCCGUGCC